This 512-nucleotide ribosomal RNA is filed under the name uncultured Bacteroidota bacterium. Its description in RNAcentral is "bacterial SSU rRNA". It matches the Rfam family "Bacterial small subunit ribosomal RNA", at positions 79 to 589 of the family's 1533-position model. The record is from RNAcentral. Lineage: Bacteria; Pseudomonadati; Bacteroidota.
CUUGCUUCCGCUGACGACCGGCGCACGGGUGCGUAACGCGUAUGUAACCUACCUCAUACUGGAGAAUAGCCCUUGGAAACGAGGAUUAAUGCUCCAUAGUAUCACAGAUUCGCAUGUUUCUGUGAUUAAAGAAUUUCGGUAUGAGAUGGGCAUGCGUCCCAUUAGCUUGUUGGUGAGGUAACGGCUCACCAAGGCAACGAUGGGUAGGGGGCCUGAGAGGGUGACCCCCCACACUGGUACUGAGACACGGACCAGACUCCUACGGGAGGCAGCAGUGAGGAAUAUUGGGCAAUGGAGGCAACUCUGACCCAGCCAUGCCGCGUGAAGGAUGACUGCCCUAUGGGUUGUAAACUUCUUUUAUAUGGGAAGAAACUUAUCUACGUGUAGAUAACUGACGGUACCAUACGAAUAAGGAUCGGCUAACUCCGUGCCAGCAGCCGCGGUAAUACGGAGGAUCCAAGCGUUAUCCGGAUUCAUUGGGUUUAAAGGGUCCGUAGGCGGGUCUUUAAGUC